This 497-nucleotide ribosomal RNA is filed under the name uncultured bacterium. RNAcentral's name for it is "partial 16S ribosomal RNA". It matches the Rfam family "Bacterial small subunit ribosomal RNA", at positions 28 to 507 of the family's 1533-position model. The record is from RNAcentral.
GACGAACGCUGGCGGCGUGCCUAAUACAUGCAAGUUGAGCGCUGAAGGUUGGUACUUGUACCAACUGGAUGAGCAGCGAACGGGUGAGUAACGCGUGGGGAAUCUGCCUUUGAGCGGGGGACAACAUUUGGAAACGAAUGCUAAUACCGCAUAAAAACUUUAAACACAAGUUUUAAGUUUGAAAGAUGCAAUUGCAUCACUCAAAGAUGAUCCCGCGUUGUAUUAGCUAGUUGGUGAGGUAAAGGCUCACCAAGGCGAUGAUACAUAGCCGACCUGAGAGGGUGAUCGGCCACAUUGGGACUGAGACACGGCCCAAACUCAUACGGGAGGCAGCAGUAGGGAAUCUUCGGCAAUGGACGAAAGUCUGACCGAGCAACGCCGCGGGAGUGAAGAAGGUUUUCGGAUCGUAAAACUCUGUUGGUAGAGAAGAACGUUGGUGAGAGUGGAAAGCUCAUCAAGUGACGGUAACUACCCAGAAAGGGACGGCUAACUACGUG